RNAcentral lists this ribosomal RNA (404 nucleotides) under uncultured bacterium. Its description in RNAcentral is "bacterial SSU rRNA". It matches the Rfam family "Bacterial small subunit ribosomal RNA", at positions 29 to 478 of the family's 1533-position model. The record is from RNAcentral.
AACGAACGCUGGCGGCAGGCUUAACACAUGCAAGUCGAACGCAUCGCAAGAUGAGUGGCAGACGGGUGAGUAACACGUGGGAACAUACCCUUUGGUGCGGAACAACAGCUGGAAACGGCUGCUAAUACCGCAUGCGCCCUACGGGGGAAAGAUUUAUCGCCGAAGGAUUGGCCCGCGUCUGAUUAGCUAGUUGGUGAGGUAAUGGCUCACCAAGGCGACGAUCAGUAGCUGGUCUGAGAGGAUGAUCAGCCACACUGGGACGUGAGACACGGCCCAGACUCCUACGGGAGGCAGCAGUGGGGAAUAUUGGACAAUGGGCGCAAGCCUGAUCCAGCCAUGCCGCGUGAGUGAUGAAGGCCCUAGGGUUGUAAAGGCUCUUUCAGCGAGGAGGAUAAUGACGUUAC